UACUCCUACGGGAGGCAGCAGUGGGGAAUAUUGGACAAUGGGGGGAACCCUGAUCCAGCCAUGCCGCGUGUGUGAAGAAGGCCUUAUGGUUGUAAAGCACUUUAAGCGAGGAGGAGGCUACUGAGACUAAUACUCUUGGAUAGUGGACGUUACUCGCAGAAUAAGCACAGGCUAACUCUGUGCCAGCAGCCGCGGUAAUACAGAGGGUGCGAGCGUUAAUCGGAUUUACUGGGCGUAAAGCGUGCGUAGGCGGCUUUUUAAGUCGGAUGUGAAAUCCCCGAGCUUAACUUGGGAAUUGCAUUCGAUACUGGGAAGCUAGAGUAUGGGAGAGGAUGGUAGAAUUCCAGGUGUAGCGGUGAAAUGCGUAGAGAUCUGGAGGAAUACCGAUGGCGAAGGCAGCCAUCUGGCCUAAUACUGACGCUGAGGUACGAAAGCAUGGGGAGCAAACAGGAUUAGAUACCCUGGUAGUCCAUGCCGUAAACGAUGUCUACUAGCCGUUGGGGCCUUUGAGGCUUUAGUGGCGCAGCUAACGCGAUAAGUAGACCGCCUGGGGAGUACGGUCGCAAGACUAAAACUCAAAUGAAUUGACGGGGGCCCCCACAAGCGGUGGAGCAUGUGGA
Molecule: ribosomal RNA, 620 nt
Filed under: uncultured bacterium
Lineage: Bacteria
Description: bacterial SSU rRNA
Rfam family: Bacterial small subunit ribosomal RNA
Source: RNAcentral